RNAcentral lists this ribosomal RNA (253 nucleotides) under uncultured bacterium. Its description in RNAcentral is "partial 16S ribosomal RNA". It matches the Rfam family "Bacterial small subunit ribosomal RNA", at positions 524 to 776 of the family's 1533-position model. The record is from RNAcentral.
UACGGAGGGGACUAGCGUUGUUCGGAAUUACUGGGCGUACAGCGCACGUAGGCGGAUUUGUAAGUCAGGGGUGAAAUCCCGGGGCUCAACCUCGGAACUGCCUUUGAUACUGCGAAUCUCGAGUCCGGAAGAGGUGAGUGGAAUUCCUAGUGUAGAGGUGAAAUUCGUAGAUAUUAGGAAGAACACCAGUGGCGAAGGCGGCUCACUGGUCCGGUACUGACGCUGAGGUGCGAAAGCAUGGGGAGCAAACAGG